UGAGGUCAGUCCCAAGGUUUGGGGUUUGAUGGGAAAGAAUGUUUGAAACAGCAGAGAAAUCUGAUCCUGGAUCUGCUGUGUUGAUGUGCAUAAGCAAAACUGAGGUUGAAGACUGAAUGCACUGAAGAGGAUUUUAAAAACCAGAGGGAAAAGAUUCUGCUGAAGAAGAAAAGACAUCUGGGAUGGCUUAAAGGAUUUAUCAACCAGCAAAGGAUUGAAGAGACAAAUCAGUAUAGAACUGCAAG
Molecule: long non-coding RNA, 245 nt
Organism: Myxocyprinus asiaticus (Chinese sucker)
Lineage: Eukaryota; Metazoa; Chordata; Actinopteri; Cypriniformes; Catostomidae
Exons: 3
Source: RefSeq, a predicted model, not a curated record